GGUCCCGUAGCUCAGCGGAUAGAGCAAUUGAUUUCUAAUCAAUCGGCCGUAGGUUCGAUUCCUACCGGGAUCA
This 73-nucleotide transfer RNA is filed under the name Bacteroidota bacterium. RNAcentral's name for it is "Bacteroidetes bacterium (activated sludge metagenome) tRNA-Arg". It matches the Rfam family "tRNA". From Rfam's summary of the family: Transfer RNA (tRNA) molecules are approximately 80 nucleotides in length. Their secondary structure includes four short double-helical elements and three loops (D, anti-codon, and T loops). Further hydrogen bonds mediate the characteristic L-shaped molecular structure. tRNAs have two regions of fundamental functional importance: the anti-codon, which is responsible for specific mRNA codon recognition, and the 3' end, to which the tRNAs corresponding amino acid is attached (by aminoacyl-tRNA synthetases). tRNAs cope with the degeneracy of the genetic code in two manners: having more than one tRNA (with a specific anti-codon) for a particular amino acid; and 'wobble' base-pairing, i.e. permitting non-standard base-pairing at the 3rd anti-codon position. The record is from RNAcentral. Lineage: Bacteria; Pseudomonadati; Bacteroidota.